AAAAUCCGUCGACUUUUACAAUCGUGAGGGUUCAAGUCCCUCUAUCCCCAAAUAGACUAA
Molecule: transfer RNA, 60 nt
Filed under: Galium maximowiczii
Lineage: Eukaryota; Viridiplantae; Streptophyta; Magnoliopsida; Gentianales; Rubiaceae
Description: partial tRNA-Leu
Source: RNAcentral